Molecule: ribosomal RNA, 460 nt
Filed under: uncultured bacterium
Lineage: Bacteria
Description: partial 16S ribosomal RNA
Rfam family: Bacterial small subunit ribosomal RNA
Source: RNAcentral
CCUACGGGUGGCUGCAGUGAGGAAUAUUGGUCAAUGGGCUUACGCCUGAACCAGCCAAGUCGCGUGAGGGAAGACUGCCCUAUGGGUUGUAAACCUCUUUUGUCAGGGAGCAAUUGGCGCUACGUGUAGCGUUAUCGAUAGUACCUGCAGACAAAGCAUCGGCUAACUCCGUGCCAGCAGCCGCGGAAAUACGGAGGAUGCGAGCGUUAUCCGGAGUUAUUGGGUUUAAAGGGUGCGUAGGCGGAAUGCCAAGUCAGCGGUAAAAUCGCGGGGCUCAACCUCGCUCCGCCGUUGAUACUGGCGUGCUGGAGUGGGCGAGAAGUAUGCGGAAUGCGUGGUGUAGCGGUGAAAUGCAUAGAUAUCACGCAGAACUCCGAUUGCGAAGGCAGCAUACCGGAGCGCAACUGACGCUGAGGCACGAAAGCGCGGGGAUCGAACAGGAUUAGAUACCCUGGUAGUC